GACGAACGCUGGCGGCGUGCUUAACACAUGCCAGUCGAACGGAAAGGCCCUGCUCUUGUGGGGUGCUCGAGUGGCGAACGGGGGAGUAACACGUGAGUAACCUGCCCUUGACUUUGGGAUAACUUCAGGAAACAGGGGCUAUUACCGGAUAGGAGCUCCUGCUGCAUGGUGGGGGUUGGAAAGAGUCGGCGGUUGGGGAUGGACUCGCGGCUUAUCAGCUGGUUGGGGGGGUAGUGGCUUACCAAGGUUUUGACGGGUAGCCGGCCUGAGAGGGUGACCGGCCACCUUGGGACUGAGAUACGGCCCAGACUCCUACGGGAGGCAGCAGUGGGGAAUAUUGCACAAUGGGCGGAAGCCUGAUGCAGCAACGCCGCGUGCGGGAUGACGGCCUUCGGGUUGUAAACCGCUUUCGCCUGUGACGAAGCGUGAGUGACGGUAAUGGGUAAAGAAGCACCGGCUAACUACGUG
This 468-nucleotide ribosomal RNA is filed under the name uncultured bacterium. Its description in RNAcentral is "partial 16S ribosomal RNA". It matches the Rfam family "Bacterial small subunit ribosomal RNA", at positions 28 to 507 of the family's 1533-position model. The record is from RNAcentral.